RNAcentral lists this ribosomal RNA (395 nucleotides) under uncultured bacterium. Its description in RNAcentral is "bacterial SSU rRNA". It matches the Rfam family "Bacterial small subunit ribosomal RNA", at positions 30 to 418 of the family's 1533-position model. The record is from RNAcentral.
AUUGAACGCUGGCGGCAGGCCUAACACAUGCAAGUCGAGCGGCAGCGGGAAAGUAGCUUGCUACUUUUGCCGGCGAGCGGCGGACGGGUGAGUAAUGCCUGGGGAUCUGCCCAGUCGAGGGGGAUAACAGUUGGAAACGACUGCUAAUACCGCAUACGCCCUACGGGGAAAGCAGGGACCGUUCGGGCCUUGCGCGAUUGGAUGAACCCAGGUGGGAUUAGCUAGUUGGUGAGGUAAUGGCUCACCAAGGCGACGAUCCCUAGCUGGUCUGAGAGGAUGAUCAGCCACACUGGAACUGAGACACGGUCCAGACUCCUACGGGAGGCAGCAGUGGGGAAUAUUGCACAAUGGGGGAAACCCUGAUGCAGCCAUGCCGCGUGUGUGAAGAAGGCCUU